AAGCGCUUAUGACCAGACUUGGGCCCGGUUAAUCAUCCAGCGUUCUCGCUGGUGCACUUGGCCGGCCCAGGCCAGCAUCAGUUCGGCGUGGGGGAUAAAGGCGGCGGGAAUGUGGCUCCUCCGGGAGUGUUAUAGCCCACCGUGUAAUACCCUGUGCUGGACUGAGGUUCGCGCAUUCGCAAGGAUGCUGGCGUAAUGGUCAUUAGCGA
This 209-nucleotide ribosomal RNA is filed under the name Fusicolla sp. RNAcentral describes it as "partial large subunit ribosomal RNA". Lineage: Eukaryota; Fungi; Ascomycota; Sordariomycetes; Hypocreales; Nectriaceae. The record is from RNAcentral.